RNAcentral lists this small RNA (75 nucleotides) under Salmonella enterica subsp. enterica serovar Bracknell. Its description in RNAcentral is "partial RtT sRNA". It matches the Rfam family "RtT RNA", at positions 57 to 130 of the family's 130-position model. Rfam says of the family: This family represents a bacterial cis-regulatory element known as RtT RNA. The exact function of RtT is unknown although it is thought that it may be involved in changing the cellular response in relation to amino acid starvation. The record is from RNAcentral. Lineage: Bacteria; Pseudomonadati; Pseudomonadota; Gammaproteobacteria; Enterobacterales; Enterobacteriaceae.
GCGAGAAAGCGUUGCCGCAGGCAACGACCCGAAGGGCGAAGCGCGCAGCGCUGAGUCAUCCUUCCCCCACCACUA